CUCGGCGAGGCCGGGUGUUGUUUGAGUAUUGGGCGUAAAGGGUGACUAGGCGGUUCGGGGCGUGGAGGUGGUCCGACCUGGGUGUCCCCCAGGAGCGACGUUCCGCCCUGGGCUAGAGGACGGUAGGGGAAGAGGGAAUGCGGACGGCACCGUUGAAAUGGGAUCAACGUCCGUGGAACACCGAUGGCGAAGGCACUCUUCUGGGCCGAUCCUGACGCUGGCUCACGAAAGCCUGGGGAGCGAAACGG
RNAcentral lists this ribosomal RNA (248 nucleotides) under uncultured prokaryote. RNAcentral describes it as "partial 16S ribosomal RNA". The stretch from base 27 to 248 matches the Rfam family "Bacterial small subunit ribosomal RNA", at positions 552 to 776 of the family's 1533-position model. The record is from RNAcentral.